RNAcentral lists this microRNA (21 nucleotides) under Mus musculus (house mouse). Its description in RNAcentral is "mmu-miR-7678-5p". The record is from miRBase by way of RNAcentral. Lineage: Eukaryota; Metazoa; Chordata; Mammalia; Rodentia; Muridae.
UUACAAGGGCUGGAUAGGAAU